Molecule: ribosomal RNA, 775 nt
Filed under: uncultured Neocallimastigales
Lineage: Eukaryota; Fungi; Neocallimastigomycota; Neocallimastigomycetes; Neocallimastigales
Description: partial large subunit ribosomal RNA
Rfam family: Eukaryotic large subunit ribosomal RNA
Source: RNAcentral
UCAGACGAUGCGUCAUGCAUAUCAAUAAGCGGAGGAAAAGAAACUAACAAGGAUUCCCUUAGUAACGGCGAGUGAAGCGGGAAGAGCUCAAAUUUGAAAUCUUCAAGGUUCUGACCUUGACGAAUUGUAGUUUAAAGAAGUGUUUUCGGUUAGAGGAGUGGUAAAAGUUCUUUGGAAUAGGACAUCAUAGAGGGUGAGAAUCCCGUAUUUGACCAUUCUUUCUAGCUUUGUGAUACACUUUCAAAGAGUCGGAUUGUUUGGGAAUGCAGUCCAAAAUGGGUGGUAAAUUUCAUCUAAAGCUAAAUAUUGGCGAGAGACCGAUAGCGAACAAGUACCGUGAGGGAAAGAUGAAAAGAACUUUGAAAAGAGAGUUAAACAGUACGUGAAAUUGUCAAAAGGGAAGCGUUUGACACCAGUGUUGUUUUUCCGAAAAUCAAUUAAAAAUGGAUUCAUGCCAAGUUGUAUUGACCUUAUCAGCUUGCAAUUUGGUUUUGGGUUCCUUUUUGAUGCACUUUUCGGUUAACAAGUCAACAUCAAUUUCCUUUGCUGUAAAAGGGCAGAAGGAAGGUGGCUUCAAUUUCGGUUGAAGUGUUUAUAGCCUUUUGUCUCUGCAGUCGGGGAGAUUGAGGUCUGCAGCGUAGAUCCUUCGGGGUUAGAUACAUUCGUGCUAAGUUAUAGCCUUUUAUAGACAACUUGUUGACUAUGAUCGGUCUUGUAAUUUACUCGCGAGUGCUAUUUUACCUACGCUUAGGAUGUUGAUAUGCAUGACUGAUAU